Molecule: non-coding RNA, 3252 nt
Organism: Cinara cedri
Lineage: Eukaryota; Metazoa; Arthropoda; Insecta; Hemiptera; Aphididae
Source: the annotation of a GenBank genome assembly
AAACAUAAUAAAAUAAAAAUCAAACUCAGUGUUCAUUUUGCUUCAGUGUUCGGAGUUUGUCAUUCAUUUAAAAACCCACUGCAGACUAUUAGUGAACAUUAUUCGAACUAUCUACGCCGAACACUGUUCACGGAUGAAUAAUACUGUAGUGUCUAACCAACUUACGAUAAAAUUUCGAGAAUGGAAUUAACUAUUGGUAUACUACCUAGGUAGGUAUUCUUAUCAUUAUUUAUGUCAAAAACCUAUGUAAUUUCUAAUAGAUAUUUUUGUGUUCCAAAAAAUGACUCUCAGAGAAAGGAGUUUAUUAUAAUUUGUCCAAAUACCAUAGCGAUUUCGUCACAAACAAUAUUAAGCUCGUAGACAUGUGGACCUGUGAUUUUUAUAGAUUUUUUACACAAAGACACUUAGACAUGCGAAUGCCUACGUUAUCUGUCUGUGACGCGUAGUACCACAAAAUGUAUAAAAAAAAUACCACUGUGUAUGUGUAAGUGUGACGCGUAGACUGUACAGUGAUAUACAGUAGCGUAACCGGGAAGACAGGUUUCGUUUGGAGAAUUUUUUUUUUUUAGUAUUUUUUUGCAGACCUUGGAAAGUUCAUUUAAAAUAUGAACUAGGUUGAUAAUCUCGUUCAUUUUUCUGAAUGAACUUUCAACUGUUUUCAUUAAAUUAUAAAUGUAUUGAAAUAUAUUGUACAAAUAUAUAUAUUGUAAAUAUAUUGUAUUAAACAUAGUUACAUAAAAACUGCAAUUAUACAUUUUAGAUUCUGAGCGAAUCGAGGAAUGUAUUGAUUUUACAAAGAUUAAUAUUUUUUUUAUAUAUAUAUUUUGAUCCAUGACCAAUUUUUCUAGCAGAUAAUUCGCUCCAAUUUUCAAGUGUACCACUUUUUAUGAAAGUAAAUCUGACUAGAGUGAUACCUUAGGGGUUUUUUUUUUUAUUUUCCCAGGAGUUUUCAUAAUAAAUGUGAAAAUUUAUGAAAUAUAUUAUUUUUAAAUCGUAAAUAUUGCGGCCUUAUAAAACAUAUUUAACCGAACUCCGCUCAGGAUCGUUUUUCGUUAGUAAUGGUUGCGUUCAGAUAUACAUUAAAUUUUCCAUCUAUCUUUCUAACAUCUCACCAAAAACAGUGGCAGCCCCCCAUCGUGCGAAGUACUUCCGUUUGUUUUACUUUUUUAUUAUUUCUCAACUUUUUACAUCAUAUAUCAGUUGUUUUCAACCGGGGUGACAUGCCACCUAAGGGUGAUAUAGAUCCAUGCGGAGGUGACAUGCAUUAUGCAUAUUUUGAUGUGCUGGGCGGUACAAUUUCGGAUUAUCGUGGGCAAGGGUGACAUGAAUCUAAAAAGGUUAAGAACCACUGUCAUAUAUAAACUAAUAAACUCUUCUAAUUGUAUUAAAAUAAAACAUUUUAAUAAUAGCUUAAUGAACAUUUAAUACAAUAAAUAAAAUAUAAAUUUACAACAUAUUUAUAUUUUAUUUAUUACAUUAAUCAAAGAUUGAGUUGUACCAUAAAAGUUAAGUAACGCAAGUCCAUUUGUUUAAUAUAUUACCUAUUUAUCGCGUUUUUAGAUACCUAUAGGCUAUAAUCACAGAAAUAUAAACAUACUAGAUAACGGACGACCAUCUGAAAAGUGUGUCUUGUUUUGCCAUAUGCUAACAUUGCAAUGUUUACAAAUAUUAACUGAUAACAGGUAAUGAUGAAUUGUCAUUUUGAUAAAUACUGAUUACUGUUCAGUAGACAAUAAUACCCUAUUCAGAGUACAGACACUUAAUGUCUAAAUACAGAAUUCUGAAUAGUAAAAAACAUUCAACAUUGUAUGGUGUAAAGUUUUGGUCUAUAACAUAUUUCCAAUGGCUAGUCGAGGUACAACACUUUCGCAACAUGGGUACUGGAUACAUUCAAAAUGUAUCAACGUAAAAGAACCAUAUUGAAAGUCAACAAACUUGAUAAAUUGUCUAACAUAUUUAUAUUGUAUAUAUACAUAAUGUUGUAUUAUAAUAUUGUAAUAUGUAUUGGUAUUUUCUAAUUUGUAUUAAUAUUGAGUGUUUACUAUUUAUAUAUAUAUUUUAGUUGAAUUGAAAUGUUUAAUUAGAAAGUAAAUAAAUAAAAACACUUCACUGAGAAAACAAUAUCUGCUCAACUACACAUCAAACCUAAAACAUCGCCUUAAUUAAUUUAAAAAAUAUAUAAAUACUUUUAUUCAGUAACAGUAAUCAGUGUAAACAAAGUAUAAAAUCAAGUAGUUUUAAUUUAUGAUUCAUUAUCAAUUUUGCAUGAUGUAAAUAUUGCCGUCAACAUCUUGACAAAUAACCGCAGCAGACACAUUUUUAAUAAUAUUAAGUAAAUAGUCGUCGGCUAUCUAGUAUGUUUAUAUAUCUGUGGCUAUAAUAUAGUACGGCUAUACAUAAUUUAUAAUAACUUAUCAAUACUUCAUUAUAAUACCGUGAUUAAUUAUUUGUUUGUGUAACUGGUUGCUAUCAUAAAAAAAAAUGACAAGUAACGAAUAAGAAUAGCUUAGAAUUCAGAAAUAAAAUAUCAUCAUAAUCUAAUUACUGAUUAUUAAAUAUUUAAUUGGAAUAUGAAUACAUUUAUCAAGUAUCGAUAAUUUAAACUUCUAAAUAAAGUUCAAUUUAAUCAAAAAUAUGAACUUAAUUCAAAGUUAGUUUAGUUCAGUUUAGUUUGAAAUUAAUUCAUUUUCGUCCGUAGCUUUUGAACUUUAAACUUUUGGUUCGUUCAUUCUAAGGUCUGCUUUCUUAUUAUUCUUGUUAUUUAUUAAUUUCAAUACUGGAUUUACCCAAAUACAAGUUUUAAUAUAAACAAAACAUACAUAACACAUACAAAAACAUUUAGUCCAAUGAUGUUGAUGGAUCCUUAUUUGCUAUACUCAUCAUUAUAUUUAAUGAUCGGUUUUCAAAUAAUUGGUUGUGCAUAUAGUUAAAGAAAACAAACACAAAUGAUAGGCAUGGAAGGCUGAAACUUUUGGAAGUUGAUUUGUUUUAAUAGAUCAGGAGAAUCAAUAACACCAACAAUAAGACGUCGCAGAUAAGAUAAAUUAACCUCAAGUCUUCUAUCAGUUAAAGUAUUCAAGCCAAGCCGGUGAAAAACUACAGAAUAAUCAUGUGGUGGAUGUUUGAUAUUUAAUUUAUAUACUACAAAGUUAAGAAAUUUACCUUGGAUACGCUCAAUUUGAUUCUUACCACAAGAAGUAUCAGGAUCUCACACAAUGGUUCCAUAUUCCAAAAUCUACCUGACGAAGGCAC